GUAAGGAAUAUUGGUCAAUGGAGGCAACUCUGAACCAGCCAUGCCGCGUGCAGGAAGACGGCCCUCUGGGUUGUAAACUGCUUUUAUCCGGGAAUAAACCUGCCUUCGUGAAGGUAGCUGAAUGUACCGGAAGAAUAAGGAUCGGCUAACUCCGUGCCAGCAGCCGCGGUAAUACGGAGGAUCCAAGCAUUAUCCGGAUUUAUUGGGUUUAAAGGGUGCGUAGGCGGCCUGUUAAGUCAGGGGUGAAAGACGGUGGCUCAACCAUCGCAGUGCCCUUGAUACUGAUGGGCUUGAAUGGACUAGAGGUAGGCGGAAUGUGACAAGUAGCGGUGAAAUGCAUAGAUAUGUCACAGAACACCGAUUGCGAAGGCAGCUUACUAUGGUCCUAUUGACGCUGAGGCACGAAAGCGUGGGGAUCGAACAGGAUUAGAUACCCCAGUAGUCC
This 445-nucleotide ribosomal RNA is filed under the name uncultured bacterium. RNAcentral describes it as "partial 16S ribosomal RNA". It matches the Rfam family "Bacterial small subunit ribosomal RNA", at positions 354 to 796 of the family's 1533-position model. The record is from RNAcentral.